This 496-nucleotide ribosomal RNA is filed under the name uncultured bacterium. Its description in RNAcentral is "bacterial SSU rRNA". It matches the Rfam family "Bacterial small subunit ribosomal RNA", at positions 28 to 516 of the family's 1533-position model. The record is from RNAcentral.
GACGAACGCUGGCGGCGUGGAUUAGGCAUGCAAGUCGAACGGUAGGAUCCUUUCGGGGAUCUGAGAGUGGCGAACGGGUGAGUAACACGUAGGUGAUCUACCCUCAAGACGGGGACAACCCAGGGAAACUUGGGCUAAUACCGGAUGUGAGCUAUCGCGAGAUAGUUUGAAAGGUGGCUUCGGCUGCCGCUUGAGGAUGAGCCUGCGUCCUAUUAGCUAGUUGGUGAGGUAACGGCUCACCGAGGCAGUGAUAGGUAGGCGGCCUUAACGGGUGGUCGCCCACACUGGGAUUGAGAUACGGCCCAGACUCCUACGGGAGGCAGCAGUCGAGAAUAGUCUACAAUGGUCGAAAGACUGAUAGUGCGACGCCGCGUGAACGAAGAAGCCCUUCGGGGUUAAAGUUCUUUUAUAUGUGAGCAGUGACACCAUAUUAAUAGUAUGGGUGUAGAGAUAUUAGCAUAUGAAUAAGCAACGGCUAACUCCGUGCCAGCAAGCC